RNAcentral lists this long non-coding RNA (487 nucleotides) under Junco hyemalis (dark-eyed junco). RNAcentral's name for it is "lncRNA (ENSJHYG00000016612.1)". The record is from RNAcentral. Lineage: Eukaryota; Metazoa; Chordata; Aves; Passeriformes; Passerellidae.
CUCCAGCAGCACUGACUCAAGACCAAGUCAUCCCUUACAGGAAUUACCUACAAAGGAAACGAAAUUUCAUGGCAUCUCUCUGUCAUCCUUCCCUGCAGAUGGUGCCUCCAAAUCCCUUCUGAAGGCAACUGUGAGGACCACCAUACAACCCUGACCACUGAACCACUGUGGUUUAAUUAUGCAAAACUGGGGUUGAAGAUUCAAGAUAUUGCUCAGAUUGUUUUGCAGUAAACUCUUCUGAUUCAGCAGUGUCAGCAGGAAGGAGCCCAUGGAUGCCAAACUAACUCCAUCUCUGCAGCCUGUUGUGCCAUCACAUGAAAAUAGGAUUCUUGCUUCUGGAUCACUCAGCUCUGUUGUGCAGGUCAAAGCAGGACGUGAUGCUACAUGGAAAGACAAGCCAAGGAGAGCUUGCUCAGGUAAAUCAAACCUGCAAGUAGUGGUAACUAUGCUGGAGUUUAUCUGUGCUGUCCGUUCAUGUACCACAGCA